RNAcentral lists this ribosomal RNA (926 nucleotides) under uncultured bacterium. Its description in RNAcentral is "bacterial SSU rRNA". It matches the Rfam family "Bacterial small subunit ribosomal RNA", at positions 52 to 968 of the family's 1533-position model. The record is from RNAcentral.
CACAUGCAAGUCGAGGGGAAACGACAUCGAAAGCUUGCUUUUGAUGGGCGUCGACCGGCGCACGGGUGAGUAACGCGUAUCCAACCUGCCCACCACUUGGGGAUAACCUUGCGAAAGUAAGACUAAUACCCAAUGAUAUCUCUAGAAGACAUCUGAAAGAGAUUAAAGAUUUAUCGGUGAUGGAUGGGGAUGCGUCUGAUUAGCUUGUUGGCGGGGUAACGGCCCACCAAGGCGACGAUCAGUAGGGGUUCUGAGAGGAAGGUCCCCCACAUUGGAACUGAGACACGGUCCAAACUCCUACGGGAGGCAGCAGUGAGGAAUAUUGGUCAAUGGACGAGAGUCUGAACCAGCCAAGUAGCGUGCAGGAAGACGGCCCUAUGGGUUGUAAACUGCUUUUAUAAGGGAAUAAAGUGAGUCUCGUGAGACUUUUUGCAUGUACCUUAUGAAUAAGGACCGGCUAAUUCCGUGCCAGCAGCCGCGGUAAUACGGAAGGUCCGGGCGUUAUCCGGAUUUAUUGGGUUUAAAGGGAGCGUAGGCCGGAGAUUAAGCGUGUUGUGAAAUGUAGACGCUCAACGUCUGCACUGCAGCGCGAACUGGUCUUCUUGAGUACGCACAACGUGGGCGGAAUUCGUGGUGUAGCGGUGAAAUGCUUAGAUAUCACGAAGAACUCCGAUUGCGAAGGCAGCUCACGGGAGCGCAACUGACGCUGAAGCUCGAAAGUGCGGGUAUCGAACAGGAUUAGAUACCCUGGUAGUCCGCACGGUAAACGAUGGAUGCCCGCUGUUGGCCUGAAUAGGUCAGCGGCCAAGCGAAAGCAUUAAGCAUCCCACCUGGGGAGUACGCCGGCAACGGUGAAACUCAAAGGAAUUGACGGGGGCCCGCACAAGCGGAGGAACAUGUGGUUUAAUUCGAUGAUACGCGAGGAA